UCGGUAAUGACGUUGGGAAAGCGAGCGGCGGAUGGGUGAGUAACACGUGGGGAACCUGCCCCUAAGUCUGGGAUACCAUUUGGAAACAGGUGCUAAUACCGGAUAAUAAAGCAGAUCGCAUGAUCAGCUUUUGAAAGGCGGCGUAAGCUGUCGCUAAGGGAUGGCCCCGCGGUGCAUUAGCUAGUUGGUAAGGUAACGGCUUACCAAGGCGACGAUGCAUAGCCGAGUUGAGAGACUGAUCGGCCACAUUGGGACUGAGACACGGCCCAAACUCCUACGGGAGGCAGCAGUAGGGAAUCUUCCACAAUGGACGCAAGUCUGAUGGAGCAACGCCGCGUGAGUGAAGAAGGUUUUCGGAUCGUAAAGCUCUGUUGUUGGUGAAGAAGGAUAGAGGUAGUAACUGGCCUUUAUUUGACGGUAAUCAACCAGAAAGUCACGGCUAACUACGUGCCAGCAGCCGCGGUAAUACGUAGGUGGCAAGCGUUGUCCGGAUUUAUUGGGCGUAAAGCGAGCGCAGGCGGAAAAAUAAGUCUAAUGUGAAAGCCCUCGGCUUAACCGAGGAACUGCAUCGGAAACUGUUUUUCUUGAGUGCAGAAGAGGAGAGUGGAACUCCAUGUGUAGCGGUGGAAUGCGUAGAUAUAUGGAAGAACACCAGUGGCGAAGGCGGCUCUCUGGUCUGCAACUGACGCUGAGGCUCGAAAGCAUGGGUAGCGAACAGGAUUAGAUACCCUGGUAGUCCAUGCCGUAAACGAUGAGUGCUAAGUGUUGGGAGGUUUCCGCCUCUCAGUGCUGCAG
RNAcentral lists this ribosomal RNA (795 nucleotides) under uncultured bacterium. RNAcentral's name for it is "bacterial SSU rRNA". It matches the Rfam family "Bacterial small subunit ribosomal RNA", at positions 76 to 851 of the family's 1533-position model. The record is from RNAcentral.